RNAcentral lists this ribosomal RNA (434 nucleotides) under uncultured bacterium. RNAcentral's name for it is "partial 16S ribosomal RNA". It matches the Rfam family "Bacterial small subunit ribosomal RNA", at positions 29 to 508 of the family's 1533-position model. The record is from RNAcentral.
AACGAACGCUGGCGGCAUGCCUAACACAUGCAAGUCGAACGAGACCUUCGGGUCUAGUGGCGCACGGGUGCGUAACGCGUGGGAACCUGCCCUUAGGUUCGGAAUAACUCCCCGAAAGGGGUGCUAAUACCGGAUAAUGUCUUCGGACCAAAGAUUUAUCGCCUUUGGAUGGGCCCGCGUUGGAUUAGCUAGUUGGUAGGGUAAAAGCCUACCAAGGCGACGAUCCAUAGCUGGUCUGAGAGGAUGAUCAGCCACACUGGGACGGAGACACGGCCCAGACUCCUACGGGAGGCAGCAGUGGGGAAUAUUAGACAAUGGGCGAAAGCCUGAUCCAGCAAGGCCGCGUGAGGGAUGAAGGCCUUAGGGUUGUAAAGCUCUUUUACCCGGGAUGAUAAUGACAGUACCGGGAGAAUAAGCUCCGGCUAACUCCGUGC